AGCUUGCUCCCGGGUGGCGAGUGGCGCACGGGUGAGUAAUACAUCGGAACGUGUCCUGUUGUGGGGGAUAACUGCUCGAAAGGGUGGCUAAUACCGCAUGAGACCUGAGGGUGAAAGCGGGGGAUCGCAAGACCUCGCGCAAUUGGAGCGGCCGAUGCCCGAUUAGCUAGUUGGUGAGGUAAAGGCUCACCAAGGCGACGAUCGGUAGCUGGUCUGAGAGGACGACCAGCCACACUGGGACUGAGACACGGCCCAGACUCCUACGGGAGGCAGCAGUGGGGAAUUUUGGACAAUGGGGGCAACCCUGAUCCAGCCAUGCCGCGUGCAGGAUGAAGGCCUUCGGGUUGUAAACUGCUUUUGUCAGGGACGAAAAGGACCGUGUUAAUACCAUGGUCUGCUGACGGUACCUGAAGAAUAAGCACCGGCUAACUACGUGCCAGCAGCCGCGGUAAUACGUAGGGUGCAAGCGUUAAUCGGAAUUACUGGGCGUAAAGCGUGCGCAGGCGGUUCUGUAAGACAGAUGUGAAAUCCCCGGGCUUAACCUGGGAAUUGCAUUUGUGACUGCAGGACUAGAGUUCAUCAGAGGGGGGUGGAAUUCCAAGUGUAGCAGUGAAAUGCGUAGAUAUUUGGAAGAACACCAAUGGCGAAGGCAGCCCCCUGGGAUGCGACUGACGCUCAUGCACGAAAGCGUGGGGAGCA
This 699-nucleotide ribosomal RNA is filed under the name uncultured bacterium. Its description in RNAcentral is "bacterial SSU rRNA". It matches the Rfam family "Bacterial small subunit ribosomal RNA", at positions 77 to 770 of the family's 1533-position model. The record is from RNAcentral.